This is a long non-coding RNA of Gigantopelta aegis, 395 nucleotides long. RefSeq lists it as uncharacterized. Lineage: Eukaryota; Metazoa; Mollusca; Gastropoda; Neomphalida; Peltospiridae. The transcript has 2 exons. The record is from RefSeq and is a predicted model, not a curated record.
GAACUGAGAUGAUCAGUGAAUGACCGUGACGAGGGGGUUAGUGAUUCUGGUGAACGACAGGGGUAUUAAUAGUAAACGACAACGGUGAUCAGUGAAUGAUCAUUAUGAGGUGUGAUGAUUCUAGUGAAUGAUAAUAAUGAUAAUGGGGAAUGGUGAAGAUGAUCAGUGAAUGAUCAUGACAAGGAUGACGAUGAGGGUGACUUAUGAUGAUGAAUUGUGAAAUGUGAUGAAUAGUGGAAGACAGACAUUUUAGUAUUAUUUUGUGGUUAAAAGAUUUUUACUCUAUUUAAUAUUGAUUCAUAGUUUAAUUUACAUGUGAUAUAUGUUACAUGCGUGAUAGUGCAAUAUGUAUUGGUUGGGAGGGAAGUGUUAUGUAAAUAAAUGUGUAUGAAUGA